AAAAAGCUAGGGUUUUCCAACUUUGAUUUUAAUCUUUGAUUUGGUAAGUGUAUUGAUGCUCGUUUUUAGUAACUUUUUAUGUUUUUAAGGUCGUAUCAAUUUGGUCUAUCUAAAUCAAGGACCAAUUGGUGAAACUUUUAAAUAUUAUAAAAUUUUUCAUUGAUGAAUGAGGUUAUUUCUUAAAGUUUAUGAUGAAAUAUGGAGCUUUGUUGAUAGAUUAGAAUAUUUUGAAAAGUGAUUUUUGAUGAUUUUGAUGUUUAGGGAUUAAAUUGAUUAAAUGAUAAAUUGUUUGUACUUGACGUGAAAUUAUUACAAAUAGGGAUUUAUAUGAAGUUAUAGAAUAUUUCGGUAUCAUGGGUGUUUAGGAAAAAUGAGUAAAUUGCAUGAUUAAGGCCUAAGGGUUGAAUUGAAUAAAAUGGAAUUUAAGGGGCAAAUAGGUAAAUUGCCAAAAAGGACUUAGUUGCAUGAAAGGAUCAAAUUGUGUUGUUGUCCUUAUUGAUGGAAUGAAAUUAUUUUUUUUAGAUCGAGAACGUGCUGAUAAUCGUGAAAAUGAGAAAACUACGGAAUAGUCCCUGUAUUUUGGAAUCUUCUGCAAUUCAGUCCAGUAAGUUUGUAUGUUUAUUUAUACUCCUAAAAUGCUUAAAUUCUUGUUAAUAUUCUCUUAAUGAAUGUUGUUUCAUAUAUUGAAAGUACACUUUAUCGAGCCAAAUCUUACUGUUAUACUGAAUGAAACUCAAUCGAACAAAUCAUACUGUUAUACUGAAUGGAGCUUAACUAAGCAAAUCUUACCAUUAUACUGAAUAAUGUUUAAUCGAGAAAAUUUUACUGUUAUACUGAGUGAAUUUCAAACGAGUAGAAGUCUAUGGAUAUACUAAUGAAAAACUCAAUCGAGCAAUGCCUACUGAGUAUAUUGAACUACCGAAUUGGUUUUAAUUAUUGUUAUAAGCUGCGUAUAAUUUGUUCAUUUUGUAGAUCACAUUUUGAAGGCUAAGAAUAUCGGGUCAACGCUAGGAAUCACACUAUCUGAGAAUCUUGGUAGACUUAAUUUCUCGAUUUUGGUAUAUGGCAUGUACUAGGACCCUAUGUAUUGUUAUGAGAAAUGCCUAGCUUAUGAGUAAUAUAUUGUGAUAUGUUGUGCACUUGAACAACUUGUGAUCUCCUACUUGUUACUUAAAUAUGUUUGAUAGGUCAUAGUAUGAAAUGAUAUGCUAUGAGUUAACUUGAGCUUGAAAUGAAAUGGAUGUUUGUUUAUAAAGAUUGAUGUGUUUGUAGCUACAAAUUGGAAAUAAAUUGUGAUGAAACACAUUGAGGUGCCAAGGUUAAUAAAUGUUUGAUAUAUAGAAUGAAUUUAUGAUUAUCUUGAGUGUGUUUGAAGUUGAAUUGCACCUUCCAUAUGUGUAUUUGAAGUGUGUG
This 1413-nucleotide long non-coding RNA is filed under the name Gossypium barbadense (sea-island cotton). RNAcentral's name for it is "long non-coding RNA (GBAR_LNC007614)". Lineage: Eukaryota; Viridiplantae; Streptophyta; Magnoliopsida; Malvales; Malvaceae. The record is from RNAcentral.